UCCAUUUUCUAAUUAAUGAGAAAGUCAUAUAUUAUUUACCUUUCCUCUUUCUCUCUCUUCGAUCAAACCGACUCAACAAAUUAUGGUAGAAAUUUGUGAUUUUUCUCUUCUAAUUCAACUGUUAACAUGGUAUUAGAGCACAGAUCCACCUAUUUCAUAAUGGGAUAGUGUGUUUUUCUCUCUUAAAUCUGAAAUUUCACUUCAAUUUCAUCAGUGAAGAGUUAGAGUUUUCUCACCGGAAUUUUCGUUUGUUUGCCGGAGUUUCAUUGAUACUUCUCUUCGUUGGUGAUUGAUACGUAGAAUUGUAUAUUUUGAAGGAUUUACGGUAACACCUAUUACAUUCUCAUAUCAUUUUUUGUGAGCUUUUGGGGAUUCAUGUUCCAGCGUGUUUGCUUUUCAAGUUUACAUACGAUGUGGCCAAAUUUUGUAGUUUUGAGAUUUUUUUGCUAAAUUUUGUGAUUAAUUUCGAGAUUUUGUGCCCUAAUUUUGCGAUUUAGGGUCUAGUUCGUUGUUUUUGCCUUGUACUAGAAUAUAGAGCAGUUGUAUUGUUGCUUAGUUGUUGUUGCUCUAGUGUACUAUUGUUAGUGAGAUUUCGAUGGCACCAGAAGAUCCCACAAACUAUUCUGCUCCAACUAACGCGAAUUCAGGGAUUUCUUCCUCUUCUACGACCAUGGUUGAUACUUCUCAUCCACGAUAUGUUCAUCCUUCUAAUAACCCUGGGAUAUUGUUAGUACCAGUUAUCUUUCAGGAACAAGAUAUCCAUCCUGGAAGAGAAAUGUUUUGAUUGCCUUAUCAGCUAAGAAUAAAGUUGGUUUAGUGAAUGGUAGGAUUUCAAACCUAGUUCAGACUCACCUGUCUAUGAUUACAGGCUUAGGUGCAAUGAUAUGAUGUUUUCUUGAUUCAAUAAUUCCUUAUCUAAGGGUAUUGCUUAGAAUGUGCUUCAUUGUGAGACUGCUAGGGACAUUUGGAAGGAUUUGGAAGAGAGGUAGGGACAAUCUAGUGCUAGUAGGUAUUAUCAAAUAAAAAGGGAGAUUGCUAGUGUUACUCAGGGUGCUUCAGACAUAGCAAGCUACUAUACUAGACUUAAGAGAAUAUGGGAUGAGCUGAAAACUACUUGUUUUGGUCCUACUUGCACAUGUGGUGCGAAAUUAAUAUAGUGAAGGCCAGAAACUCAUUCAUUUCUUAACUGGGUUAAAUGAAAAAUAUUCUAGUGUGAGAAGAAACGUUCAUAUGAUGAGUCCUGUUCCAUCCCUUAGGAAAGUUUACUCCAUGCUUCUCCAUGAUGAAAAAACAAAGGGAGCUGCAGUCCCCUACACCACCAUUUUUCUCAGAUUCCACAUCCUUCUAUGCUAAGACCUCUUCAGGUUCCUCAUCAUAUGCUUCUAGUUCUGGGAAGGCUUCCACUUCUAGCACAUCUCAACCUCUCUCCCAUGCUCCUUCAACCUCAAGUAGCAGAAAUUUCACUCAAAGGAUCAAGACUUCAAAAACUCCAACCCGGUGUGCAAAUACUAUAAAAGGUCUGUUCAUACCAUAGAAAAAUGCUAUAGACUCCAUGGAUUCCCUGCUAAUUUCAAGUUCACAAAGGGGACGAAAUCAGCAGCUUGUGUUCAAGUAGAUUCCAACCUUGUCUCUAGUUCUACUGAUGGUAUGAUUUCCAAUAUGGAUCUAGCUCUUCAUGGUUUUAGUCAAGAACAAUAUCAGCACAUCAUGUCCCUCUUCAAACAGUCACAACUCUACAAACUCAGAUGACUUCUCCACUGGUUCUUCUGCUAUUGCCAUGGGUGUUUUUGUAGGUAUUGGUUGCAGUUUUCCCACUUAUUCCAUUGAUAUAUGUUGUGCUUCAUAGUUGAAAGUUAAUUCUUGGAUUCUAGAUUCAGGAGCUACAAAUCAUAUGACACCUCACAAAAACCUUUUACACAAUGUUAUACCCCUGCCCUUUCCAUAUCUAGUGACCUUGCCUAAUGGCUACAAGAUCAAGGUCAAUUGCACUGGUUCUUUACUUUUGUGCAGUGACUUUGUAUUAGCCAAUGUCCUCUUUAUCCCUUCAUUUUAAUUCAAUUUAAUUUAUGUUCCUUAACUUAUUGAUAAGUUCAACUUCUCUACUUUUUUUAACAAGGCUUCUUGCUCCAUACAGGGCUUUUGUCUGAGGAAGCCAUUGGAAGUUGGUAGAGAAGCCAAUGGACUUUAUGUCAUUCAUUCUGCUUUUACUGAUACUGUUUCUAAUUCAUGUUUAAUACCAUAUAUGCUUCUCCACAUGUUCCUAAAUGUGUUUACAUUGCUUGUACCACUACUUGUAACCCUCAUUCUUCUAUUAAUAAAAGCAGAUUUUUUUUGUAAUCAAAGAGUAGGGCAUAUGCCUUUUCGUAGAAUGAAAUCUAUUGGUUUUUUGUUAGAUAAACUUUCUGCUAAGAUAUCCUUUAAUUGUCAGGUGUGUCCUUUAGCUAGGCAACAAAGAUUUCCCUUUUCUGAUAGUACAAUUAGAACUACACGACCCUUUCAAUUAAUUCAUAUAGACUUGUGGGGUCCCUAUUACCCCAGAACUUACAAUGGCUUUAGGUAUUUCUUGACCAUUGUUAAUGACUUCUCCAGGGCCACCUAGAUUUACCUUCCAUCCUGAAAGGGCAAUGCCUUUUCUAUCAUUAAAUCCUUGGAAUUUUUUUUAAUGGAAAUCAUUGCGGUGCCUUUACCGUUUCUUUAGUUUAUGAAAAAGAGGAAGAGUUUUAAAGUUUUUUUUUCAUCUGGUGAGAGCAUUAUUAGUGAUGUUUUCUUCUAGGGCUGUUCACAGUUUUGGUUAAAACCAAAACCAAACCGAAAAUUUAACCAAACCGAAUAAAAUAACCGACAUUUGGUUUAGUUUGGUUUGGUUUGGUUUUAAAUUUAAAAAACUGAUAAUAUUUGGUUUGGUUAUGGUUAUAGUAAAAAAUAACCGAAUAAAUAACCGAACCAAACCGAUAAUUAUAUACAUAAAAUUUAUAAUUAUUUAUAUGUAUAAUAUUAACUUGUCAUAAAUAAUUAAAGAUAUUUUAUACCUUUUAAUUAUUAAUUUAAUUUUUGUCUACUUAUUUUUAAGGCCCAUGUCUUAAAAGAAUAUGUCCAACAAUCCAAGUCCAACUCUAAUAAGUCGUAAGCAUAAGGGUUGUUUGUAUUUUGAAACCUCUGUUUGACUUGUUCUUUUGAAUCUAAACUGCGUUGCAAGUUUGGUCCACCUGAUUUGCCAACAGCGUGUCUUUCCCUCAAUAUGCAGCAAAGUUCACCCUUGUGGGCCAUGAGGAAAAAAAAGCUUCAUAAGAAAUUUGAAGAAUGUAGAGAGAGAAUAUUUGAAUUGUCACGGCUAGUCAUAAACCGAAAAACCGAACCAAACCGAACCAAACCGACAAUAACCAAACCGGUGGUUAUUAUUUUACUUGGUUUGGUUAUGGUUUUAGACAUUUAAAAACCGACUAAAUUGGUUUGGUUAUGGUUUUAACCAAUAACCGACCCAAACCGAACCAUGAACACCCCUAUUUUCUUCUUUUGUUGAAAAAGAGACUCUUUGUGUCUAUCAAAACAAUUUGGGAAAUAUUUUUUAACAGAAGAUGCUAAACUCGUUUUUCCGUUCUUGGUCACAAAGAACCAUUUGUUUUUCUAAUUGUAGUGGAAUGUUGAGGGACAUGAGGCCAUGAGGGUCCAUAUUAAUUGCUCUCUGCCGUGCAUUAUUAUUUGGAGUGUGAAUUUCAAUAUAUGACAUUGAAAAGUGAUAAAUCCACAUACCUGCUUGUGUUUUUUUCUCUUUGCCCUUGAUCAAUUAUUUUUUGGUCUAAGAAAUAUAUACUGUUUGUGUGAAUUGGGUCUUUUUGUGCAUGGCUAAAACUUCUCUUACCUUAGUAUAUGAGAUUAAGUGAAAAACUCUGGAACUGGGUAAAUAGUUGGAUGUGACCAACUAUCAUUCAAGUUUUAACCUUGAUUUGAACAUAAUAAGGAGUAUGCAUUUUGUUGUGUACUAAAUUUUUGCUAUUCAAACACAACAAUGCGUAAAAGUACCGUGAAUGGUCAAUAAAUUGCCUGCAACUAUCACUCUAGAAAAGAGUUACCUUUUUAUCUGUUAUAGAAUAUGAUUAUAAUUAUCUUGAAUUUGUGUGAUUUAAGAUAAGUGUUCCUCAGAUGAUUGAUUAUGUUAGAUUUACAACAUAUUAGAAUUCAGAUGAUGAUUGAGAACUUAUUGAACUUUUGAUUCUGAAUCUAGUAUGAAAUAAAUUUUGACAUGGUUAAUUAUUUUAGAAAUUUCUAUGUAUAUGAAUUUAGACAUGUGAAAAGUACACAGUCUCUCAUGAUAGUUUAUACUUGUCUUAAAGUAUGUCAAUUGUUGCGAAAAAUAUUGUUGCUAAGCUUACCAAAGGUGAUAAGCUAGACAGAGACAAUUACAAAAUAUGGAGUAUGAAAAUGCAAUAUGUCCUGGAAGAGCAAGAGGCUCUUGAAGCUCUUAAUGUGUCUAUGGAAAUUCCUGAAAAUGGCGAUACUCCCCAACAUGUGAAAGAUCUCGAGGCUUAUCAUGCUUGGAAAAAAAAUCUCUUGCUCGCAUAACGUGGUUGAGCAGCAUGGAUAACGAUAUUACGAGAGAAUUUCGAAAGUAUGACAAUGCUAAGGACAUGUGGUCCACUUUAAAAGAAAAGUUUGGUCAUACUUCAUUUAUCAAGUUAAGAGCGCUUACUAUUAAGUUUGACACCUAUAAGAAGCGCCCUGGUCAUACUAUGCGUAAGCAUCUGCACCAUAUGUCAAAUAUGGUGAAUGAACUUAAAGAUGUCGGUCAUGUGUUGACCGAAGAGCAACAAGUACAAGCUGUGAUUCGCUCCCUACCCCAAAGCUAGGAAAAUAUGAAAAUGCACUUAACCCAUAAUGUUAGUAUCAAAACUAUGGAAAAUGCUAAGCAUCAUUUGGAACUCGAGGAAGAGCGCCUCGGUAUGCAAAAAGCUACUACGAGUUCAGGUCCAGAACGUGGACAAGGCCAAAAAUGCAAGUAUGGUGGGUUUUUCAAAAAGAAGGGGAAGGGACAAGUCUCGAAAAAGCCUAAAUAUAAUCAACAAGGAAAAAAAGGUGCUUCUGUUCGAAACAAAAAAAUGAAUAUGGCACAGCUCAAAUGCUACAACUGUGAGAACAUGGGACAUUUUGCUCGUGACUGUCCCGAGCCUAAAAAGACUCGGGAGCCACCGACCAUAUAGCGAAGGAAAGAGAUGCAUUUGUAGAAUUUCGGCGAAUUCCACAAGGAGCAAAAUGGAUUUAUGUAGGAAAAAACUCCAAAGUGGAGGUCAAAGGAGUUGGUACCUGCAAACUUGAGAUGUGUGGUGGCUGAACUUUAUUUCUACAUGAUGUACUAUUUGCCCCUUCUAUCGGUCGGAAUCUAGUCUCAGUCACAAUGUUGAUUAAUUUAGGAUUUCAUUUAAUCUUUCAUGAACAUGGAUUGGAUUUGUAUUUGGCCAAGACAAAAUAUGGCACUGGUUAUCCUUGUAAUGGUUUUAUUCUAUUGGAUAUUGUACCUAAUUUUAAUAAUAAUGAUAUUUGUUUUUCCUUA
Lycium barbarum (goji berry) is the source of this 5545-nucleotide long non-coding RNA. RefSeq lists it as uncharacterized. NCBI's taxonomy places the organism in Eukaryota, Viridiplantae, Streptophyta, Magnoliopsida, Solanales, Solanaceae. The record is from RefSeq and is a predicted model, not a curated record. The transcript is spliced from 2 exons.